UACAGAGGGGGCAAGCGUUAUUCGGAAUUAUUGGGCGUAAAGGGCGUGUAGGCGGUUUUGUAUGUCUGGCGUGAAAGCCCCGGGCUCACCUCGGGAAGUGCGUUGGAAACUGCAAGACUAGAGUCCCGGAGAGGAAGGUGGAAUUCCAGGUGUAGCGGUGAAAUGCGUAGAUAUCUGGAAGAACACCGGUGGCGAAGGCGGCCUUCUGGACGGUGACUGACGCUGAGACGCGAAAGCGUGGGGAGCAAACAGG
RNAcentral lists this ribosomal RNA (253 nucleotides) under uncultured bacterium. RNAcentral describes it as "partial 16S ribosomal RNA". It matches the Rfam family "Bacterial small subunit ribosomal RNA", at positions 524 to 776 of the family's 1533-position model. The record is from RNAcentral.